GCUCCCGUGGGAAACAACUUGGAGCAGACCACUGUGAGGGAAAAUAAGGGUAUAGAGAACUGACCUAACUAACAUUAAUAAAAUCCCUAACUAAGCCAACCCAACCUACAACAAGGUCAACAUUUGUAGACCUUUCGUAUUGCCAGUUGGGCACUAAUGAGAAAUCAUCAAUGGAUCAGGAGCAGCAUCCACAUUUCUUUCCCUGUCCACAGUUCACCAUGGUAGGCACUGUCCUUUGAAACAAGCUCACAAACAGCAGGCUAGAGCAUGUAAAAGGCCAUGCAAAAUGUAUCUCACAAAACUGUUCGGAGCAAGAUGAUAUUUAAAGCUCCUUUUCUGUACAAGAAGAGAUGACCCCACUGACAGCAAACUUCCAGCAGAAGGUUCCUAAUCCUGAAGUGCCA
This is a long non-coding RNA of Vidua macroura (Pin-tailed whydah), 404 nucleotides long. RefSeq lists it as uncharacterized. The transcript has 3 exons. The record is from RefSeq and is a predicted model, not a curated record. Lineage: Eukaryota; Metazoa; Chordata; Aves; Passeriformes; Viduidae.